Long non-coding RNA from Onychomys torridus (southern grasshopper mouse), 200 nucleotides. RefSeq lists it as uncharacterized. NCBI's taxonomy places the organism in Eukaryota, Metazoa, Chordata, Mammalia, Rodentia, Cricetidae. The record is from RefSeq and is a predicted model, not a curated record. The transcript has 4 exons.
AGUUGGGUUGACAGUGGCUGCUGCUGUACUCCUGGCUGGGGUUUUGGGAUUGAUGGUGUUCCUCAGGUGGAGGAGAAGGAAAGGACAGAAGACCAAAGCCGAAACCCCAGCCAGGGACCUCAUUGAAAACACUGAGGAUGUUGAACCUGAAGGACAGUAUGUGGACCCCAAAGAGAACCCCAAGGUAAGCCACUCAGACU